RNAcentral lists this ribosomal RNA (253 nucleotides) under uncultured bacterium. RNAcentral's name for it is "partial 16S ribosomal RNA". It matches the Rfam family "Bacterial small subunit ribosomal RNA", at positions 524 to 776 of the family's 1533-position model. The record is from RNAcentral.
UACGUAGGGUGCAAGCGUUGUCCGGAAUUAUUGGGCGUAAAGAGCUCGUAGGCGGUUUGUCGCGUCUGCUGUGAAAACGCGAGGCUCAACCUCGCGCCUGCAGUGGGUACGGGCAGACUAGAGUACUGCAGGGGAGACUGGAAUUCCUGGUGUAGCGGUGGAAUGCGCAGAUAUCAGGAGGAACACCGGUGGCGAAGGCGGGUCUCUGGGCAGUAACUGACGCUGAGGAGCGAAAGCGUGGGGAGCGAACAGG